RNAcentral lists this transfer RNA (90 nucleotides) under bacterium. Its description in RNAcentral is "tRNA-Ser". It matches the Rfam family "tRNA". From Rfam's summary of the family: Transfer RNA (tRNA) molecules are approximately 80 nucleotides in length. RNAcentral also lists the same sequence under 1 other name. The record is from RNAcentral.
GGAGGGAUGGCAGAGUGGUCGAAUGCGCACGCUUGGAAAGCGUGUAUACGAGCAAUCGUAUCGGGGGUUCGAAUCCCCCUCCUUCCGCCA